This 1480-nucleotide ribosomal RNA is filed under the name metagenome. RNAcentral describes it as "bacterial LSU rRNA". It matches the Rfam family "Bacterial large subunit ribosomal RNA", at positions 1409 to 2925 of the family's 2925-position model. The record is from RNAcentral.
UCGUAGUCGAUGGAUAACGGGUUAAUAUUCCUGUACUAUUUUUUAUUGACAACGAAGGACGGAGAAGGCUAUGUUGGCCGGGUGUUGGUUUCCGGUUUAAGCGUUAAGGUGUAGAGAAAUAGAGAAAAUAUUUUGAGCUAAGACGUGAAUACGAAAUGCUACGGCAUAAAAGCAACUGAUGUCAUGCUUCCAAGAAAAGUUCGCACUGUCAUAAAUAAAAAAUACCUGUACUGUAAACCGACACAGGUAGGUGGGUAGAGAAUACUAAGGGGCGCGAGAUAACUCUCUCUAAGGAACUCGGCAAAAUAACUCCGUAACUUUGGGAGAAGGAGUACCUUUUUUAAGGUUGCAAUAAUCAGGUUCAAGCGACUGUUUAACAAAAACACAGGUUUCCGCUAAGUUGUAAAACGAUGUAUGGGAGCUGACGCCUGCCCAGUGCCGGAAGGUUAAGGAAGUUGGUUUAAUGCUGAUAACUGAAGCCCCGGUGAACGGCGGCCGUAACGAUAACGGUCCUAAGGUAGCGAAAUUCCUUGUCGGGUAAGUUCCGACCCGCACGAAAGGCGUAACGAUUUGAACGCUGUCUCAGAGAGAGACUCGGCGAAAUAGACAUGUCUGUGAAGAUGCGGACUACCUGCACCUGGACAGAAAGACCCUAUGAAGCUUUACUGUAACUUGAGAUUGACUUCGGGCUUUACUUGCGCAGGAUAGGUGGGAGGCUUUGAUUAUAUUCUUGCGGGAGUAUAAGAGCCGUUGGUGAGAUACCACUCUUGUAAAGCUAGAAUUCUAAUUUUACUUCGUUAGCCGAGUAAAAAACAUUCUCUGGUGGGCAGUUUGACUGGGGCGGUCGCCUCCCAAAAAGUAACGGAGGCGCACAAAGGUUUCCUCAGAUCGGUCAGAAAUCGAUCGUUGAGCGUAAAGGCAUAUGGAAGCUUGACUGCGAGACCAACAAGUCGAGCAGAGACGAAAGUCGGUCUUAGUGAUCUGACGGUUCUGAGUGGAAAGGCCGUCACUCAACGGAUAAAAGUUACUCUAAGGAUAACAGGCUGAUCUCCCCCAAGAGUUCACAUCGACGGGGAGGUUUGGCACCUCGAUGUCGGCUCAUCGCAUCCUGGGGCGGUAGUACGUCCCAAGGGUUGGGCUGUUCGCCCAUGAAAGCGGUACGCGAGCUGGGUUCAGAACGUCGUGAGACAGUUCGGUCCAUAUCCGGUGUGGGCGUUAGAGUAUUGAAAGGACCCUUCUCUAGUACGAGAGGACCGAGAAGGACAGACCGCUGGUGUAUCAGUUAUCAUGCCAAUGGUAUACGCUGGGUAGCUAUGUCUGGAAAGGAUAACCGCUGAAAGCAUCUAAGUGGGAAGCCUACCUUAAGAUGAGUACUCUCAUCCUUUUUGAGUAAGAUCACGGCAAGAUUAGCCGUUUGAUAGGUAUCAGGUCGAAGUAUAGUAAUAUAUGAAGCCAAGAUAUACUAAUAGAUCGAGGAUUC